AAAGUGCGAUAAACAAUGCGAAUUGCAGAAUUCCGCGAAUCAUCAGAUCCUUGAACGCAACUGGCGCUAGGAGGAUCUCCUCCUAGCAUGUCUGUUUCAGUGUCUGCAAACAUCAUACUAAUCAUAAUGUGGUUGACAAAAGGGAUAUUUCUACUAUGUCUCUUGAGUCUUCCAUUAAAGAUGUUGUGUGUGUGAGUCUUUAGGACUCCUCAUCGGACUUUUGGUCACUGAUCUCCAGUGAUUUCGAUUGAGAGAUCCUAAUUACUCGAUUAGAAGGAUAAAAACUUCAACACACAAGAACUUUCUGGUAUGUUAGCCUAACUAGUUAACAUUACCUAGUCUUCUAACUCUGCAUCUGAAAUCAGGCAAGAUCACCCGCUGAACUUAAGC
RNAcentral lists this unclassified non-coding RNA (390 nucleotides) under plant metagenome. RNAcentral describes it as "partial contains 5.8S ribosomal RNA, internal transcribed spacer 2, and large subunit ribosomal RNA". The stretch from base 1 to 105 matches the Rfam family "5.8S ribosomal RNA", at positions 50 to 154 of the family's 154-position model. The record is from RNAcentral.